ACAAUACUGAGGCCUGAGGCACAUGUUAAAACAGGGCCCAGUCCUGCGAUCAGAUCUGUGUGUGCAUACCCUUGGGACCAUGCAGAGACCCACUGACUGCAGGAUCAGAGCCUGGUAUUGCUCAGGAAAUACUGGAGCUACCCCUGCCACCAGACAAGAUAAAAUGAAGCACAGACAGGCCAAGGUUGAAGGACUAAGAGCUGUCUCCAAAAGGGGAACUUUGCUAUCAAGAACUAAAUUACUUUGCAACAAGUAACAUUCAGCAUUUGUGAUAAAAAUAUGAAAUAUAUCACAUCUGAGACAUUAUGAUGUUGCAUGCCUGGGUUUGAGGUGACUGCAGCAAAAGGGACAUAAAAAAGCAAGAGAAAUUGAUCUAGCCAAAGAAAAAAUAGAAUUAUUUAAGAAUGCACAUAUUUCCUUCACAGAACAUUCAAUUUGCCUCCAAUGUGUUAAAUUUAGACACUAAAUCCCACCAUUCAACUGCAAACUAGUGAGAUUUUAAUGGUACUUUACGUGUAAAAUUCAAUGUAAUGGUAACUAUGGGGACCCUGGUGCUACCUCCCUAAUACUGUACUCCAGGUGACUCGAAGCAGAUCUACAAAUUGAACUCAAUGGGAACAACACGGUACACAGGAGCAGUCCACACCCUAAUAUUCUACCUUGCUUCACCAAAGCUGAGACCACCAAAUAUUGUUUCAUUAAAAACAUUUAUAUUAGGCCCAGCUCAAGGUCUCAAAAGGUGCUUGUGAUUGGUCUUGUUUUUAUUUAGAGAUCACCCCUGAAUAAGAACAUGUUAGUUGAAAUAACCAUGAGCUCAAUAAAACAGCUAAGUGUUGUUAUACAGCAAAACCUCCCUCUGGUUUUAUUGCCCCCUAG
This is a long non-coding RNA of Gavialis gangeticus (Gharial), 876 nucleotides long. RefSeq lists it as uncharacterized. The record is from RefSeq and is a predicted model, not a curated record. The transcript has 3 exons. Lineage: Eukaryota; Metazoa; Chordata; Crocodylia; Gavialidae.